AUGAAGCCGCGCUACUAUGAUCAUUUCUAUCCCGUGUCUAUAAAAAGCCUAUCAAAGGCGUACAGGGAUUCCACUGGGAAAGCGUCCAUUUGUGGGAAACAAUCAGUUAACAUGUGGCAGCGCACCAUCCCAGUGAAUCCAAACAGCAGGCAUAAGCUUGGUAGUUCUAGGAGUACGCUCUACUCAGUAGUUAAAAGGCUGGGUUGUCUGACUUGCUGGUACCUCGAUGAUGGACAUCGGUGCCUAGGCUCAGCUGUGUGUGGCUCCUGUGUCACCCUCUUAGGUCUCCCAUGGCCUCAUUUUACUUCAUCUGUCACUGCCUUAAUGACAGUAGCAAAAGUCCUCCUGGGACCCAGUCCUUUCCAGCUCAAAACAAUACUCCAGCAAAACUAAAUUCUAAGUGUUAAAAAGCACCAGAAACAAAAAGCUAUUUACUCAGUGUAUUUUUUUUUUUUUUUUACAUUUUGUUAUCUCCAUCCAGUGCUUGGUAAACCCUGUGGCUGUAUUAUAUAACCACAGAUCGACGUCCUGCUGUAAAAUGCGGACCUUCAAUUCCAAGUUCACAGGGCACAUCACAAGGAACUGUCAUGACUUAGUUAUCCUAAUGCAUUUUCUCCGGAAACAGCAGCAUUAAAACUCAUAAUGAGCUUUGCAGACCUAAAAUAAGAUGCCUGUGAAUUCAGACUCCUCCAAACAUGAUGAGAUUCAUCAAAGUGGGUGCAGUGUGUUGUCAGUCUAUUUACACUGAUUUUUUUUUCCCAGUUGGUCCCAAGAGGACACACAAUUUGACUCCUAAAUUCACUGCAGCAGAUGGCUCCCUGCGGCUGUGUGAACACGCAAAACAAAACUUGCGUUCCAGUACCCUACUAUAGGCGAUAAUUACUGAGCACAGACAGUAAGGUCUCUACCAGGAUUGUAUUUUCCUUCCGUAUCUUGAGUAGGUGUGCUACAGUUUUUAAUGCACUGUUCAAGUACAACUCUAUUUUUUAGCUCUAGCUCAGCAACUUGAAAACACUGGGAAGGUUUAAGAACAAUUACAUCCCUUGGGACCCAUGCUAUGGCGCAGUGGGUAAAGCCACCACCUGCAGUGCUGCAUUGCUGGCAUCCCAUAUGAGCGCUGGUUUGAGUCCCAGUUGCUCCACUUCCGAUCCAGCUCUCUGCUGUGGCCUGGGAAAUCAGUAGAAGAUGGCCCAAGUCCUUGGGCCCUUGAACCCAUGUGGGAGACCAAGAAGAAGCUCCUGGCUCCUGGCUUUGGAUUGGCACAGCUCCGGCGGUUGCCGCCAUCUGGGGAGCGAACCAAUGGAUGGAAGACCUCUCUCUCUACCACUCUGCCUCUGCCUCUCUGUAACUCUGCCUUUCAAAUGAAUAAAUAAAUCUUAAAAAAAAAAAAAAAAAGAACA
This 1400-nucleotide long non-coding RNA is filed under the name Oryctolagus cuniculus (rabbit). Its description in RNAcentral is "lncRNA (ENSOCUG00000039293.1)". Lineage: Eukaryota; Metazoa; Chordata; Mammalia; Lagomorpha; Leporidae. The record is from RNAcentral.